CAAUAGCGUAUAUUUAAGUUGUUGCAGUUAAAAAGCUCGUAGUUGGAUUUCGGAUGGGAUCUGCCGGUCUGUCUUUGAGAUGUGUACUGGUAGGUCCUAUCUUGUUGUCGGGGACCAGCUCCUGGGCUUCACUGUCCGGGACUGGGAGCCGACGAAGUUACUUUGAGUAAAUUAGAGUGUUCAAAGCAAGCCUACGCUCUGAAUAUAUUAGCAUGGAAUAACACGAUAGGACUCUGGCUUAUCUUGUUGGUCUGUGAGACCAGAGUAAUGAUUAAGAGGGACAGUCGGGGACAUUCGUAUUUCAUUGUCAGAGGUGAAAUUCUUGGAUUUAUGAAAGACGAACUUCUGCGAAAGCAUUUGUCAAGGAUGUUUUCAUUAA
Molecule: ribosomal RNA, 379 nt
Filed under: uncultured eukaryote
Lineage: Eukaryota
Description: partial 18S ribosomal RNA
Rfam family: Eukaryotic small subunit ribosomal RNA
Source: RNAcentral